Molecule: long non-coding RNA, 257 nt
Organism: Haliotis rubra (blacklip abalone)
Lineage: Eukaryota; Metazoa; Mollusca; Gastropoda; Lepetellida; Haliotidae
Exons: 2
Source: RefSeq, a predicted model, not a curated record
CACCACUUCACACGCUGACAAUGCUCAAUAUUUUGCACACGACCCUCGUCCCUCAAGCGAAUUGGCGGAAGACACAGCCUCCCAGUCGCUCUCACUGGAUCUAAGCUAGACUUGAUUAUCCAGCAGAAUCAUGGAAAAAAACAAAGGGUAUAGCAUUGCUAUAGUCUCAACACUCAUGGUCUGGACUGUAGUGGAAUACGUGGCUUCAAACUAUUAUUCUCAAUUGGACACGAAUGAUUUCAUUGUACCAGCAAAAA